CAUGCACUGGUGGGGUCCCUUGGCCUGGCCUGUGGGGAUUGGGCCAAAAUUGGCAGUCCGACAUCACCUGAGGGGUCCCAGAUUGUGAGAGGGUGCAGGCCAGACCGAGGGACCCCACCAGUGCAUG
This 127-nucleotide microRNA precursor is filed under the name Myotis brandtii (Brandt's bat). RNAcentral describes it as "mir-9193 microRNA precursor family". The record is from Rfam by way of RNAcentral. Lineage: Eukaryota; Metazoa; Chordata; Mammalia; Chiroptera; Vespertilionidae.